RNAcentral lists this ribosomal RNA (373 nucleotides) under uncultured organism. RNAcentral's name for it is "partial 16S ribosomal RNA". It matches the Rfam family "Bacterial small subunit ribosomal RNA", at positions 527 to 896 of the family's 1533-position model. The record is from RNAcentral.
GUAGGUGGCAAGCGUUGUCCGGAAUUAUUGGGCGUAAAGCGCGCGCAGGCGGUUCUUUAAGUCUGAUGUGAAAGCCCACGGCUCAACCGUGGAGGGUCAUUGGAAACUGGAGAACUUGAGUACAGAAGAGGAAAGCGGAAUUCCACGUGUAGCGGUGAAAUGCGUAGAGCUGUGGAGGAACACCAGUGGCGAAGGCGGCUUUCUGGUCUGUAACUGACGCUGAGGCGCGAAAGCGUGGGUAGCAAACAGGAUUAGAUACCCUGGUAGUCCACGCCGUAAACGAUGAGUGCUAAGUGUUAGGGGGGUUUCCGCCCCCCUUAGUGCUGCAGCUAACGCAUUAAGCACUCCGCCUGGGAGUACGGCCGCAAGGCUG